This 251-nucleotide ribosomal RNA is filed under the name uncultured bacterium. RNAcentral's name for it is "partial 16S ribosomal RNA". It matches the Rfam family "Bacterial small subunit ribosomal RNA", at positions 524 to 775 of the family's 1533-position model. The record is from RNAcentral.
UACGUAGGGUGCAAGCGUUAAUCGGAAUUACUGGCGUAAAGCGUGCGCAGGCGGUGAUGUAAGACAGUUGUGAAUCCCCGGCUCAACCUGGGAACUGCAUCUGUGACUGCAUCGCUGGGAGUGCGGGCAGAGGGGGAUGGAAUUCCGCGUGUAGCAGUGAAAUGCGUAGAUAUGCGGAGGAACACCGAUGGCGAAGGCAAUCCCCUGGGCCUGCACUGACGCUCAUGCACGAAAGCGUGGGGAGCAACAGG